CCUACGGGUGGCAGCAGUGGGGAAUAUUGCGCAAUGGGGGCAACCCUGACGCAGCAACGCCGCGUGAUUGAAGAAGGCCUUCGGGUUGUAAAGAUCUUUAAUUGGGGACGAAAAUGACGGUACCCUGCAAGAAAGCUCCGGCUAACUACGUGCCAGCAGCCGCGGUAAUACGUAGGGAGCAAGCGUUGUCCGGAAUUACUGGGUGUAAAGGGAGCGUAGGCGGGAGGAUAAGUUGAAUGUGAAAUCUAUGGGCUCAACCCAUAGCUGCGUUCAAAACUGUUCUUCUUGAGUGAAGUAGAGGCAGGCGGAAUUCCUAGUGUAGCGGUGAAAUGCGUAGAUAUUAGGAGGAACACCAGUGGCGAAGGCGGCCUGCUGGGCUUUUACUGACGCUGAGGCUCGAAAGCGUGGGUAGCAAACAGGAUUAGAUACCCCUGUAGUC
RNAcentral lists this ribosomal RNA (439 nucleotides) under uncultured bacterium. RNAcentral's name for it is "partial 16S ribosomal RNA". It matches the Rfam family "Bacterial small subunit ribosomal RNA", at positions 338 to 795 of the family's 1533-position model. The record is from RNAcentral.